UACGUAGGCAGCAAGCGUUGUUCGGAGUUACUGGGCGUAAAGGGUGCGUAGGCGGUUGUUUAAGUUUGGUGUGAAAUCUCCCGGCUCAACUGGGAGGGUGCGCCGAAUACUGAAUGACUAGAGUGCGGGAGAGGAAAGUGGAAUUCCUGGUGUAGCGGUGAAAUGCGUAGAUAUCAGGAGGAACACCGGUGGUGUAGACGGCUUUCUGGACCGUAACUGACGCUGAGACACGAAAGCGUGGGUAGCAAACAGG
RNAcentral lists this ribosomal RNA (253 nucleotides) under uncultured bacterium. RNAcentral describes it as "partial 16S ribosomal RNA". It matches the Rfam family "Bacterial small subunit ribosomal RNA", at positions 524 to 776 of the family's 1533-position model. The record is from RNAcentral.